Leopardus geoffroyi (Geoffroy's cat) is the source of this 1314-nucleotide long non-coding RNA. RefSeq lists it as uncharacterized. The transcript is spliced from 2 exons. The record is from RefSeq and is a predicted model, not a curated record. Lineage: Eukaryota; Metazoa; Chordata; Mammalia; Carnivora; Felidae.
UGAACUUACAACCCCGUGAUCAAGAGUCGGGUGCUCUACUGACCCAGGUGCCUCUUGACCAACAAUUUUAAUGUUUAAUCAGUAACUAUUAUACCUGAAACUUGAAAGCCAUUUAAACUGAAUCUAAUUACUCAAGCCCUUGGUAUGAAAUUAAGAUGAGUUCAGAAAAAAAUCAGAAAGCAGCAGUGGGAUACAUUGUUACAAAUUUUUUACACAUUUUGUAAAAAUGGAUGGUACACGUGAAUGAAUGACAGAAUACUACAUCCGGGAACAAUGAACCCCACAACACAUACACACAAAAAGCCUUUUCCUCUCAUUCGUUCUAGCGGAGCGAAGAGGUUUUUCUAUGUAACUAAAUGUAUCACUGUAAAGAAAGAAAACUUAGGAAAUGCAAACAUAGGCCAAAAAAAAAAAAAAAUCACAAAUUCUAAAAGGGGUUACUUAAAAAUUAGCUUCAGAGUUCUUUCUCCAAAAUGCUUGGGCCACUCUAAAUUAAACUUACCCUCCUCCCCCAAAAUAAGAGCCAGACAGAGUUGAGCAACAAGUAUUAAGAAGCUACAGGAACUGUUUUAUGGGGCAGGAUCAAGAGACUCGUUUGUGUAUAUGAUAAUUAAGUCAGAAUUAAAGAGCUGAACAUAAGAGCAAGCAUAGCUUUUAAAUGUCGUAGAUAGAAAACUAUUUAGUAGGCCACAGAGAGAUGUGGCGGAAUAAAAGGAAACCUGGCCUAAAUAUCAGAAAAAGCUUUUCAACAUUAUUACCUUUGCGUUAUAUAUCAAAGAAGAUGGUAAAAUGAUCUCAUGGGUUAUUGCUCAUUAUGUGGUAGACCUAAAACAAGACAAACUCUAGAAAAUUUGGAGAAAAAAUGAAAUUCAAUAUUUCUGCAUCUUCAUUCUUUUCCCUUUCAAGUUAAAGUAUAUGAAACAUUUGGUAAUAUAAUAGCCAAUAAUCAUUUAAGUGCAUUAAAUACAAUUAUUUAGGCUCUAGUACUGUAUUUGUGAACAGUCGCAACUUCCAGAAUAAAUUUAUUAAAUGUAGCCAGUAGGUAUUAAAUACCAGCUAAUAGCCAUAAUGUUGAAUGUUGGGCAUAAACGAUGCAAGACACCUGUUUCCAAGGAGUUGAUGAUUCCCUGGUGAAGAUAGAGGAGUACACAGUGAGGAACAAGAGCAUCUACCUAUCUACGUGAGGCUCUCAAUCUACUUAAGCCCCAGCAUGCAAAUACUAAAGAAGAAACAAUAAUGCUCUUCUCCCAAAGCUCCUAAUUGCACUGGUCUUGAACCUCCAGCUGUACUGAAGUUCAUUUGUGCCUUUCUGAG